GAUGCACGCUGGCAGCGUGCCUAAUACAUGCAAGUCGAGCGAACGGACGAGAAGCUUGCUUCUCUGAUGUUAGCGGCGGACGGGUGAGUAACACGUGGAUAACCUACCUAUAAGACUGGGAUAACUUCGGGAAACCGGAGCUAAUACCGGAUAAUAUUUUGAACCGCAUGGUUCAAAAGUGAAAGACGGUCUUGCUGUCACUUAUAGAUGGAUCCGCGCUGCAUUAGCUAGUUGGUAAGGUAACGGCUUACCAAGGCAACGAUGCAUAGCCGACCUGAGAGGGUGAUCGGCCACACUGGAACUGAGACACGGUCCAGACUCCUACGGGAGGCAGCAGUAGGGAAUCUUCCGCAAUGGGCGAAAGCCUGACGGAGCAACGCCGCGUGAGUGAUGAAGGUCUUCGGAUCGAAAAACUCUGUUAUUAGGGAAGAACAUAUGUGUAAGUAAAUGUGCACAUCUUGACGGUACCUAAUCAGAAAGCCACGGCUAACUACGUG
Molecule: ribosomal RNA, 497 nt
Filed under: uncultured bacterium
Lineage: Bacteria
Description: partial 16S ribosomal RNA
Rfam family: Bacterial small subunit ribosomal RNA
Source: RNAcentral